GACUCUCAGCAACAGAUAUCUCGGCUCUCGCAUCGAUGAAGAACGUAGCGAAAUGCGGUACUUGGUGUGAAUUGCAAAAUCCCGUGAACCAUCGAGUCUUUGAACGCAAGUUACGCCCUAAGCCAUUAGGGUGAGGGCACGUCUCCCUAGGUGUCA
This 156-nucleotide ribosomal RNA is filed under the name Gossypium arboreum. Its description in RNAcentral is "5.8S ribosomal RNA". It matches the Rfam family "5.8S ribosomal RNA". From Rfam's summary of the family: 5.8S ribosomal RNA (5.8S rRNA) is a component of the large subunit of the eukaryotic ribosome. It is transcribed by RNA polymerase I as part of the 45S precursor that also contains 18S and 28S rRNA. The record is from Rfam by way of RNAcentral. Lineage: Eukaryota; Viridiplantae; Streptophyta; Magnoliopsida; Malvales; Malvaceae.